Molecule: ribosomal RNA, 460 nt
Filed under: uncultured bacterium
Lineage: Bacteria
Description: bacterial SSU rRNA
Rfam family: Bacterial small subunit ribosomal RNA
Source: RNAcentral
CUCGGGAGGCAGCAGUGGGGAAUAUUGCACAAUGGGCGCAAGCCUGAUGCAGCCAUGCCGCGUGUAUGAAGAAGGCCUUCGGGUUGUAAAGUACUUUCAGCAGUGAGGAAGGUGGAUAUGUUAAUAGCAUAUUCAUUUGACGUUAGCUGCAGAAGAAGCACCGGCUAACUCCGUGCCAGCAGCCGCGGUAAUACGGAGGGUGCGAGCGUUAAUCGGAAUUACUGGGCGUAAAGCGCAUGCAGGUGGUUUGUUAAGUCAGAUGUGAAAGCCCGGGGCUCAACCUCGGAAUUGCAUUUGAAACUGGCAAACUAGAGUACUGUAGAGGGGGUAGAAUUUCAGGUGUAGCGGUGAAAUGCGUAGAGAUCUGAAGGAAUACCGGUGGCGAAGGCGGCCCCCUGGACAGAUACUGACACUCAGAUGCGAAAGCGUGGGGAGCAAACAGGAUUAGAUACCCUGGUAG